This 1920-nucleotide long non-coding RNA is filed under the name Homo sapiens (human). RNAcentral's name for it is "HSALNT0392575". Lineage: Eukaryota; Metazoa; Chordata; Mammalia; Primates; Hominidae. The record is from RNAcentral.
AUUCUGACUCAGGGGUGACUCAGCUCUUCCAUGACCUGUGUUCCCACUUCUCCUUGAUAAGGCCAAUGUUUUGGCCCUACUGGUGAAAAUAUGUAGACCUAACAUCUAUCUCCCUGCUCCAGUUUCAAGAGAAAAGACCUUAUUCAGAGAAAUAUUUAGAAGACUCUUGUGGAAUUCUUGCUGUGAGUGGUUUUUCCUUCCCUGCCAUUGGUGCGACUGUUUCCCCCUUCCGUCAAAUUGCUGUCUAGAUGUUUCUCUCUGACCCCAAUUUUCUCGGAGUUUGGGAUUAUCAAUCUAAAAUCAGAGGCAGGGAGGAACUUGGAUUGUCCUUCAGUAAAAUUCCACUUUGAUGCGCAAAGCGAACUUGAAUUUCUGCUUGGCCUACCACAGGCCUGCAACAUGCACUUUCUCCUCGAGGUGAGAAGGUCUUUUUCUCUCCACUCUGAAACACCGCUGCCUGCACCUUUUGCUGAGUUUAGAGUAGCAUCAUACUUUCUGCCACGAAUGCCACAAAUACUGCCUUUUCAACUUGGUUUUGUAAAAUGUAAUGGUACUAAAUCCGCCAAAGGGAUAAAGCACCCUUACUUUGGAUUUGCCAGUCCCAUGGGUACAUAACUGACCUACUACUCUCCCACCUCCCAACCUUGAAACUCCAGCCCCCUGAACGGCCUCACCACUCCAACCCCCACUGCAAUUUCCCACUCCCCACCUCCAUGCAUUGCCCAUUCACCAAGCCAGCCACAUCUCCCUUUAAGUUGAAAACUCACCCGAAAGCCCACUACCUCUUCCAUGCAGCCUCCCCUGAUUAAGUGAGGAUGAAGAAACCUCCAAAGCAUGGCCGACAAACUCCCAAUAAACGAGAACACACACCCCCCCAAAACAAACACAGAAACUCACAAAAGAAGAAAAUGACACAUUCUCUACUUUUGAUUUGUGAAACUCCUAUGGGGCUAAGGAGAUCAAUUUUAUACCAAUAAAUCAUUUCAGAAAAUGAAGUCAUUUUAAUAUUCUUGGGGUUACUCAGCAAAACACUUUGCUUGGACGUCUCUUUUGUACUUUCCUUAAAUUCUUCUUCCUUUUCUUCUCGGCUUUUUGAACGUAUGACUGAAGGGAACUGCCACUCACUGACACGGACAACAGUAAAGGAACUUGGUCUUCACUAUGCCUCAUAGUGGUGGGUCACACUGCCCAGGAGGAACCCGCAAUGAGACCGGCAAAUGCCUUAACCAUCUCAUUGUCUCAUCAGGAAGAAGCUUAAAUGACUCUUCUUGCUCACAUACUUCCUGGGCAAACAUGUCUGCUCUGUUGGGAUAAAGGACGCUCUAGACCAGGCUCUGCUGAAAGAUCCAGGGCAAAGGUUCCUGACAAGACUAUGUCCAGCCUCAAAUAAGGCCACAGAAGAGCCCAGGCUCGCUGACGAGCACCGGCUCCGAGGCAGUCACAUCAGGAGACAGAAACAGACAUGUUGGUGCUGCCCUCUCAGGUCAGUGCAAAUGCCACUUGAGGAGGGCUGAGAGCUUUGCAGCAUAAAAUGACCAGAACAAGGAGAAACACAGAUGCAAUGGCAAUAGCUGGCAAUUCGCACAUGGCGUCAAACACCACUGCCACAGAAGCUUUUUAGCUACAAGCCACGCUAUGCAACCUUUAAGCAAAACAUUAUUGAUUUUGUGGUUGUAAAAACAUACCUUCAACUGCAGAACUCAGUUUUAUGACACCUUGAAUAAAAACAAAAAGUGGCAGUUAUAUAAUGGACCCAAAUCGCCUUUUCCAGGCUUCUCAUAACACACGCAUGCUUCAGAUUUGGAUUUUUCUUUUUCUGCUGGCAUUGCAAGAACGUAACUAAACAAAUAUCAACUUCAAAAAUAAAAUAAUUUUUAGUCUUAACUAGGUCUCAUGGAUGUCUUCUUUUCCCCCACUAAA